ACGCUCCAUCGUACGAUGCGUUA
RNAcentral lists this small nuclear RNA (23 nucleotides) under Arabidopsis thaliana (thale cress). RNAcentral's name for it is "snRNA_11773". The record is from RNAcentral. Lineage: Eukaryota; Viridiplantae; Streptophyta; Magnoliopsida; Brassicales; Brassicaceae.